GGAGAAGCUGUGGCUCAGUGGUAGAGCAUCCGUUCAACAUGCAGAAGGUCCCAGGUUCAAUCCCUGGCAUCUCCA
Heteronotia binoei (common prickly gecko) is the source of this 75-nucleotide non-coding RNA. NCBI's taxonomy places the organism in Eukaryota, Metazoa, Chordata, Lepidosauria, Squamata, Gekkonidae. The record is from the annotation of a RefSeq genome assembly.